RNAcentral lists this ribosomal RNA (329 nucleotides) under uncultured eukaryote. RNAcentral's name for it is "partial 18S ribosomal RNA". It matches the Rfam family "Eukaryotic small subunit ribosomal RNA", at positions 1470 to 1796 of the family's 1831-position model. The record is from RNAcentral.
CCCUUAGAUGUCCUGGGCCGCACGCGCGCUAAACUGAGUGUCUGAGAUACGAGUCUGCCUGGUCCGGCAAGGUCUAGGUAAUCGCUAAAAGACACAUCAUGCUUGGGAUAGAUUAUUGCAAAUAUUAAUCUUGAACGAGGAAUUCCUAGUAAGCGCAAGUCAACAGCUUGCGUUGAUUACGUCCCUGCCCUUUGUACACACCGCCCGUCGCUACUACUGAUUGGAUGUUUAAGCGAGGUUCUCGAACUGCUAGCGACUUAGCUUCGGUGAGGUCGCAGUGUGGGAAGUGAACCUAGCUUUGGUGUCUAGAGGAAGUAAAAGUCGUAACA